Molecule: ribosomal RNA, 2931 nt
Filed under: Escherichia coli
Lineage: Bacteria; Pseudomonadati; Pseudomonadota; Gammaproteobacteria; Enterobacterales; Enterobacteriaceae
Description: 23S ribosomal RNA
Rfam family: Bacterial large subunit ribosomal RNA
Source: RNAcentral
GGGUUGUGAGGUUAAGCGACUAAGCGUACACGGUGGAUGCCCUGGCAGUCAGAGGCGAUGAAGGACGUGCUAAUCUGCGAUAAGCGUCGGUAAGGUGAUAUGAACCGUUAUAACCGGCGAUUUCCGAAUGGGGAAACCCAGUGUGUUUCGAUACACUAUCAUUAACUGAAUCCAUAGGUUAAUGAGGCGAACCGGGGGAACUGAAACAUCUAAGUACCCCGAGGAAAAGAAAUCAACCGAGAUUCCCCCAGUAGCGGCGAGCGAACGGGGAGCAGCCCAGAGCCUGAAUCAGUGUGUGUGUUAGUGGAAGCGUCUGGAAAGGCGCGCGAUACAGGGUGACAGCCCCGUACACAAAAAUGCACAUGCUGUGAGCUCGAUGAGUAGGGCGGGACACGUGGUAUCCUGUCUGAAUAUGGGGGGACCAUCCUCCAAGGCUAAAUACUCCUGACUGACCGAUAGUGAACCAGUACCGUGAGGGAAAGGCGAAAAGAACCCCGGCGAGGGGAGUGAAAAAGAACCUGAAACCGUGUACGUACAAGCAGUGGGAGCACGCUUAGGCGUGUGACUGCGUACCUUUUGUAUAAUGGGUCAGCGACUUAUAUUCUGUAGCAAGGUUAACCGAAUAGGGGAGCCGAAGGGAAACCGAGUCUUAACUGGGCGUUAAGUUGCAGGGUAUAGACCCGAAACCCGGUGAUCUAGCCAUGGGCAGGUUGAAGGUUGGGUAACACUAACUGGAGGACCGAACCGACUAAUGUUGAAAAAUUAGCGGAUGACUUGUGGCUGGGGGUGAAAGGCCAAUCAAACCGGGAGAUAGCUGGUUCUCCCCGAAAGCUAUUUAGGUAGCGCCUCGUGAAUUCAUCUCCGGGGGUAGAGCACUGUUUCGGCAAGGGGGUCAUCCCGACUUACCAACCCGAUGCAAACUGCGAAUACCGGAGAAUGUUAUCACGGGAGACACACGGCGGGUGCUAACGUCCGUCGUGAAGAGGGAAACAACCCAGACCGCCAGCUAAGGUCCCAAAGUCAUGGUUAAGUGGGAAACGAUGUGGGAAGGCCCAGACAGCCAGGAUGUUGGCUUAGAAGCAGCCAUCAUUUAAAGAAAGCGUAAUAGCUCACUGGUCGAGUCGGCCUGCGCGGAAGAUGUAACGGGGCUAAACCAUGCACCGAAGCUGCGGCAGCGACACUAUGUGUUGUUGGGUAGGGGAGCGUUCUGUAAGCCUGUGAAGGUGUGCUGUGAGGCAUGCUGGAGGUAUCAGAAGUGCGAAUGCUGACAUAAGUAACGAUAAAGCGGGUGAAAAGCCCGCUCGCCGGAAGACCAAGGGUUCCUGUCCAACGUUAAUCGGGGCAGGGUGAGUCGACCCCUAAGGCGAGGCCGAAAGGCGUAGUCGAUGGGAAACAGGUUAAUAUUCCUGUACUUGGUGUUACUGCGAAGGGGGGACGGAGAAGGCUAUGUUGGCCGGGCGACGGUUGUCCCGGUUUAAGCGUGUAGGCUGGUUUUCCAGGCAAAUCCGGAAAAUCAAGGCUGAGGCGUGAUGACGAGGCACUACGGUGCUGAAGCAACAAAUGCCCUGCUUCCAGGAAAAGCCUCUAAGCAUCAGGUAACAUCAAAUCGUACCCCAAACCGACACAGGUGGUCAGGUAGAGAAUACCAAGGCGCUUGAGAGAACUCGGGUGAAGGAACUAGGCAAAAUGGUGCCGUAACUUCGGGAGAAGGCACGCUGAUAUGUAGGUGAAGUCCCUCGCGGAUGGAGCUGAAAUCAGUCGAAGAUACCAGCUGGCUGCAACUGUUUAUUAAAAACACAGCACUGUGCAAACACGAAAGUGGACGUAUACGGUGUGACGCCUGCCCGGUGCCGGAAGGUUAAUUGAUGGGGUUAGCCGCAAGGCGAAGCUCUUGAUCGAAGCCCCGGUAAACGGCGGCCGUAACUAUAACGGUCCUAAGGUAGCGAAAUUCCUUGUCGGGUAAGUUCCGACCUGCACGAAUGGCGUAAUGAUGGCCAGGCUGUCUCCACCCGAGACUCAGUGAAAUUGAACUCGCUGUGAAGAUGCAGUGUACCCGCGGCAAGACGGAAAGACCCCGUGAACCUUUACUAUAGCUUGACACUGAACAUUGAGCCUUGAUGUGUAGGAUAGGUGGGAGGCUUUGAAGUGUGGACGCCAGUCUGCAUGGAGCCGACCUUGAAAUACCACCCUUUAAUGUUUGAUGUUCUAACGUUGACCCGUAAUCCGGGUUGCGGACAGUGUCUGGUGGGUAGUUUGACUGGGGCGGUCUCCUCCUAAAGAGUAACGGAGGAGCACGAAGGUUGGCUAAUCCUGGUCGGACAUCAGGAGGUUAGUGCAAUGGCAUAAGCCAGCUUGACUGCGAGCGUGACGGCGCGAGCAGGUGCGAAAGCAGGUCAUAGUGAUCCGGUGGUUCUGAAUGGAAGGGCCAUCGCUCAACGGAUAAAAGGUACUCCGGGGAUAACAGGCUGAUACCGCCCAAGAGUUCAUAUCGACGGCGGUGUUUGGCACCUCGAUGUCGGCUCAUCACAUCCUGGGGCUGAAGUAGGUCCCAAGGGUAUGGCUGUUCGCCAUUUAAAGUGGUACGCGAGCUGGGUUUAGAACGUCGUGAGACAGUUCGGUCCCUAUCUGCCGUGGGCGCUGGAGAACUGAGGGGGGCUGCUCCUAGUACGAGAGGACCGGAGUGGACGCAUCACUGGUGUUCGGGUUGUCAUGCCAAUGGCACUGCCCGGUAGCUAAAUGCGGAAGAGAUAAGUGCUGAAAGCAUCUAAGCACGAAACUUGCCCCGAGAUGAGUUCUCCCUGACCCUUUAAGGGUCCUGAAGGAACGUUGAAGACGACGACGUUGAUAGGCCGGGUGUGUAAGCGCAGCGAUGCGUUGAGCUAACCGGUACUAAUGAACCGUGAGGCUUAACCUUACAACGCCGAAGCUGUU